Molecule: long non-coding RNA, 6609 nt
Filed under: Ananas comosus (pineapple)
Lineage: Eukaryota; Viridiplantae; Streptophyta; Magnoliopsida; Poales; Bromeliaceae
Description: long non-coding RNA (ACOM_LNC016130)
Source: RNAcentral
ACGACUCAGGGCGCCGUGUGGUGGAAUUGUAUCCCGUGCUCUCUCUCUCUCUCUCUCUCUCUCUCUCUCUCUCUGUUUCUCCCACGUUACGAUCCAUUUCCCCAACUCGAUCGCCCCCGACGAAACCCUCGUCGUCGUCAACCUCCUCCCCCCUCUCCGCCGCGCCAUGAAACCCUCGCAGAAUAAGAAGAAGAGCAGGAAGAAGAAGCCGAAGCCCUCUUCUCCCCUUCCGCCGCCCUCCCAAAGAUCCGACGCUGAAUCGAAGGGGGACGAAGGCGAGGAGAGGAAGGACCUGGAUUGGUUGAUCGACGAUACUAACCAAUCCAUUGAUUGUUAGCUAAAAAAAGAUUAUUUUAUAUAUUUUUUCUCAACUUUGAAAAUGUUUUUUAAAUUUUCUCUCACUUGGAGUCUGAUGAGAUUUUAAGCUCAAAGAUUUAAGUAUCCUAGUACGGAAUCAUGUCAAAAUUUCAUGCGUGUCGAAUAGUAUCGAUACGUGUAUACUGGUCAUAAAAAAUAUAUUUGUGCCGACACAUAAUGUCAUGAAAUAUUUAUUUUUUUUAGCAAUAUAAUAUUACAACCGUUAAUUAUAUAUCUUUAUCAAAUAUUUUAAAUUUUAUUGAAAAAAAUUAUUUACUAAUUUAAAAAAUAUAGAGUUUUGAGCUGUGCAAUCAGUACGAGGGCAGUAUCGUGCCGAUAUCUUGUUGACAUGAUAUAGUACGAUGGAUACGGCCGGUAUUGAUGGAUAUACUUAAAUUCUUUCGUUUAAACUUGUUGGUAGCCAAAUUCCCUAAUCCCUGACCCGGUCAAAGAUACCCCUCAGGAAGCGCGUCGGGAUGCGAAACAGCUGCGAAUAGUGACCCUCGAAGUUUGCACCCUUCGACUGGAUCAAGCGAUUCGGCUAAUGAGGGAUCGGAUCAGCCGAGUUCAAAAAUCUCUACUUUUAAAUCUGUUCGGCUGGAUGAGCCGAAUGUAUGGACUGUGCAGGGAUCAAUGUCGGCAGAAGAGCCGAAUGGAAGAAGUAUACAGUAACUGGUCGGCUGAAAGAGCCGAAUACCUAUAUAUACAUAUUAAUAAAACAAAGUGUGCCUGAAGGGCAUACAGACUCUGCAAAUAUGUAGUUUACAACAGAGUGAUACCCGUGGGGCAGACAGACUUCAGAAUUCUAUUUAAAAGCUACUCCUAUGAAAACAAUAAAUGCGAAAAAGAAAAUAUUACAUUUAGACUACUUCUAGAAAGCAAUAAAUGCAGAAAAUGAAAGAUAUGAAAAUGCGGCGGUCUUCUCGUUUACAGAAGAGAAAGACCGCUAUUGCAGGCUUUGAAAUUACUAUUUAUAGUAAUAUCAACUCACAUUAUUGGUUGGUUAAAAGUAGUGGGGGGAGUGGUUGUAACCAUGAUCGUGGAGGUUACGCCCACUCCUCAUAGAAGUUACGCCCUAUCGUAGAAGUUACGCCAACUUUUCAUGGAAGUUACGGCCCACUUCUCAACCGUUCUCGCCUAAACCUUCAGUCGCCUUAUUGCCUGCCGACUCCUGAUGUGCUACGCAGGGACGAAGCCAGAAUUCAAUCACAAGGGGGGCCAAAAUAUGUACAAAUAAAAAGUUUAGCAGAUAAAUAAAAUUUUAACUACUCAAAUUUUUAAUAAAAAAAUUUAGUGAUUAGAUAAUUAAUGUUAAAAAAUAUUAAAUUUAUUUUUUUAAUUUACACUUGCUUAACUUCUAAUUAUUUUAUUUGUAUUAUUUCAUUCAAAUAAUUUAAGAAUUUUACUAAAUCUAAUAAAAAUUUAGUUAGAAUUUAAUUUUUUUUAAAUUUUUGUUAAUAAAAUAAUAACAACCAAUGACUAAUAUCUAACAGAGCUAUUAAAUUUAGCAUACUAUUUUAUUUAGUUAAAUAAAUUAGCUCAUCAAAAUAAUUGGAAAGUUAAGAAUGUAUAAAUAAAAUAUUUAAAGUUGAAAGGACUUAUUUCAAAAUGCACUAUAAUUAAAAGGUUCUUAAUAUAUUUUCACCUAUAAAACACAUAAGAAGAGAGAGAGAGCUCUAUAUUAGCACUAAAAACUUUUUACAAAAUAGGCCGAUAUAUUUUAAAAAUUAACUGAAAAUAUAUAAACUACCAAAGAACUAUAAAGUAAAUAUUGAAAAGUUGAAGAGGGUCAUAGCUCCUUUGGGUCUAUAUAUGGAGUCUUGGCCCACAAGGCAACAAUUCUUUUCAAAAAUUUUCACUUUGGUCCCCUAAAUUUACAAUAUUUUAAUUUUUUUAAUAGCUUACUAGUGGAUUGUUCUGUAAUUUUAAAAAUGGGGGGGGGGUAUGGCCAUUGUCGGCCCCCACAUGGCUCCGUCCCUGGUGCUACGUAUCUUUAUUGAUUCAUACGUGGUUUACUUAAUUUUAAUUUUGGCAUCAAUAAAACUCAUGACUUCUUAAUUUACUACCAUGCACGUAAACUUUAUUUUCAGCAUUUAUAAUUCACAACAACCAAAACAACCAGAAAGAAUCUGUGACAUUACACCGGCCCGUGAAUGACCAUAGGCGUCAAAAUCCAAAUUAAUACUCGGCUCCAUUUGCUCCAUGAUUGCAUUGGGUCGAGCCCAUGCUCGUGCUAGAAUCACUUUCUCUCACAGUCGCCUCUUUAUGGGAGAUAGCCCACCUCUAUGGCUCUAUGCUGGCCUUUUUCUCUACCCCUACCUCUAUAAAUCCAACCCUGUUCCUCCUCACACCAUGCACAACAACAACUACUAUAUAUUUCUCAUUAAUUAAUUAAUUCGAUCUCUCUUGAAUCCAUGGCUCGCCUUUUGCCUCUCCUCUCCUUUCUUUUGGUGAGCAAAUUCAUAUACGCGACAUGCAUGCUUUCGUUAAAACAAGUGAUUCUGUAGAAGCUCUAGCUAAGUUGAAUCGGCGUGCGAUAACGUGACAUAAGUUGUGUUUUUAAGUGGAUCUAGAUAUAUAUGAUUAACUGUGCGUAAAUUAAGGAGAAAACAUUUGAUGUUCGCGCGUAUAUACAACGUGCGGCACCAGCUUAGUACCUUUUAGACCUAGAAAUGAUCAAAAUAACUGAAAUUCGUAGAAUUAUGAUUUUUUUAAAUUUUUACUUUCUUCGUGGUUUUAUUUGGCAGAUAAUGUUGUCUUUUUCCCUCACAAUUUAUUAUUUUAUUUUAUUUUUUAUAUAUAACAAAUUAUUGAUUGAUAUUUGUAUAUUUCAGCUGGCCAUUGCAGUAGGAGCGAGACAUGCAGCUUCGCCUGCAGAGGUCUACUGGCAGAACGUCCUGCCCAACUCUCCCAUGCCGAGCGCAAUCCGUGACCUGCUGCUCCCUGGUUGCUCUCUCUCUCUCUCUCAAUUAUUUUUUCUUAAAAUUUUAAAAUAUUAAAUGACAGUGUUAAAAUUUUAAAAUAUUAAAUAACAGUAUUUGUGUUUAAUUCGUAUUCAAAGUUAGCCAACUUUUGCGAGGUUUUAAAAUAACGCAUCUCACAUAGUUAGCAAAAGAACUUAUGAGUAUCCCAACUAGUUAAUACUUUUAGUUAAGUUUAUUUCUAAAAAAUGAAUGAAACAAGUAAUAUACUAUUUUUCUCUUUUAAAAAAAAAUCACUAGAUUUAGCAAAAUUUGAUAAAAAUUAUAAUCAAAUGAUCUCACAUCGUAAGAAAACAAAUUAAUGCCUAUCCCAUCUAUUUGGUUGGAAACGCACGCAUGAAAAAAAAAUAAAUAAAUAAAACUGUGAUUUGGAAAAAAAAAAAAAAAAAGAAAGAAAAAAACUCAUCUUUCCACGUUUUUUGGAAUGAAAGUUUAAUAGAGAAAAAAAUGAAGAGCAAAAAAAAUUACUCAUAAUAACAACUUUUUCUUAUCUCCUAAGUAUGAGAGAAAAAUAACAUUCUAAAAAUAUUUUUUAAUUAUUUUUAAAAAUAAGCGGGGGACUUCAAUUAUAAUCAUGCAUGCACACAAGCGCUAUCGAAUCUCAGUUACUACCCCUUAAUUCAAACAGUAUAUAUAUAUAUAUAGAGUCCGGCUACUAUACUAUCUAUAGUACGGGAGCUUCCGUACUAUAGUGUCGUUUUCGAUCUUCGGGCGUUCAAAUCAACGAUCCACACCGUUAAAACUGAUCUAGGAUAUUUAAAGUUUUUAGAAAUAAAUUUUUAUAUUUUUUCGACAUAGUUUACUUUAUGAUCAAAACAUUUUAAAAUUGUCAAUUUUCAAUGGCUAUUAUGACGAGUUGGGAGUUUAACGGUGUAGAAGAAUCUAAAUUUCUUCAAAUUUUGAUAGAAAAUACUUUAAACUAUAUAGAUUAAGGUUAACAUUCUUGAUCUUGAAUUUAAAAGUCCUAUGCUCAAAUUUUAAAGAGUAUUCAAUUCCCACCGUCAUUUUGACAUAAUUUAUUUACUAAGUAAACGAUGUCGAAAAAAUAAAAAUUUAUUUCUAAAAACUUAAAUACCCUAGAUCAUUUUUAACGUAUGGAUCGUUGAUUAAUGCCCAAGAUCGAAAACUACACUAUAGUACGGGAGCCUCCACUAUAUAUAUAUAUAUAUAUAUAUAUAUAUAUAUAUAUAUAUAUAUAUAUAUAUAUAUAUAUAUAUAUAUUACGAAUUAUGCUAUUAUAUUAUCGAUAGUAUCAAAUAUUUGAUGCUAUUAGAUUUUCGACCUUUAAAUAAAAGAACGUGUGAUUAGAAUAAUAACAAAUUCUUCGAAUUGAAUGGAUGGUUGGUUGAACAGUAUUAAUCUAAUAAAUGACAAUGAUCAAAAGAAUAAUUUUAACAGCGAAAAAUUUAAUAGCACCAAGCGUUUGAUAUAGUAUACUAUAUUUUAAAUAUUUGUCUUUUUUUGAAACAUAUAGGAAAAGUAACCACCUCAGCGAACGUAGACGGAGUAGGCUCCGUGUUCUUCCUGGAGAAGGACCUGCACCCGGGCUCAAAGAUGACCCUGCAUUUCACCCGGACCGCCUCCACCGCCACCGUGCUCCUCCCGCGCCGCGUCUCCGACUCGAUCCCUUUCUCUUCCGCCAAGCUCCCGGAGAUACUCUCCCGCUUCUCCGUCGACGCCGCCUCUGCAAGGGCUGACGCCAUCAAGAGCACCCUCACCGAGUGCGAGGCCCCAGCCCUCGGCGGCGAGGACUGGCUCUGCGUCACCUCGCUCGAGUCCAUGGUCAACUUCACCACUGCCAGCCUCGGCAUCCGCGACUUACGGGCCGUGUCCACCGCUGUCGGCCGUGAGGGUACGACACAGUGAAAUAACCGUUUUUCUCUGAAACCAAAGAAAAAAAAAUCUAGUGUAAACAUAGAAAACAAGAGAAUUUUAUGUACUAGAGAGCGUCCCAACAGAAAGAUAGUCCGAUCAAUCUCAGCUGGCAAAACUCGAGUGAUAUUUUCUUAAUAUUUUAUAUUCAACAGGCACGCCGAAGCAGGCAUAUACGAUCGAGAAUGUAAAGAAGAUGUCCACCCCAGGAUCCGAGCUGGUGGCAUGCCACGGCAUGAAGUAUGCGUACGCGGUGUUCCACUGCCACAUGACGACCGCGGCCGCCUACACCGUAUCGAUGGCGGGCGCCGACGGGACGAGGGUGGAGGCGCUCGCAGCGUGCCACACCGACGCGGCAGCCGGGUCGAGGAGGCGUUCAAGAAGCUCAACGUCGAGCCCUGGAGCGUGCCAGUGUGCCACUUCCUGCCCCAGGAUGAUCUCCUGUGGAGCCGCAACUAACUUGGCAGAUUAGAACAUGUGAAUUAUGACGUGGAGUGGACUGCUACAUAUUAUAAUCUGGUCUGUGAUCCAUGGUUUAUUGGGCCAGCUAACUGGUGUACUAGCGUGUAUGUGUGUUGUACUGUGUUGUCCUCGUCCUUGUCCUUGCCGGCACAUAUCUAAACUGUAUCCAUGUUUCCUCUAUGUUAUAUAAAUAAGAAAACUUAUUCUAAAAUGUUGGUUUCCUGUAGAAAUGAAUGCACGUCUAUGUGAUAGUGAAUUUUUGCUAUCAUUUUAUAACAUUUUUUUUAAAAAAAAAACUCUAUCUUAGAAUUAAAUUUAUUUUAAAAAAGAAUCGAUAUUGUCAAAAUUAGUUUUGAUAUUACCAGAAAAGCUAGGCAAUAGCAGAAACUUCUGUGGCAACAUCAGUUUCCAAUUUCAGAUAUCUUUUGAACUAUCAAAUACAGUACAAGAUAAUGUGUUUCCAAACUGGGCCUUAACAAGUUAACGGGUUUGCUCGGGCCUGCUAAGUGGGCCCGAACGAUGAUGGGCCUCAUAGGCCCUAUGGGUUGUGUACUGUAAUCGGAGCCGGAUCUUGAUGCGCUCGAUUGGGCUCCGCAUCAGGUUUAGUUUGGUCCUAAUUUGACUAGGGGUCAAACGCGAGUGGUGCGCUUGGGUGCGAGAUCCUCGGGCACAGACGACUCAGGGCGCCGUGCGGUGGAAUUGUAUCCCGUGCUCUCUCUCUCUCUCUCUCUCUCUCUCUCUCUCUACCUUUCCCACGUUACGAUCCCUUUCCCCAACUCUAUCGCCACCGACGAAACCCUCGUCGUCGUCAACCUCGUCCCCCUCUCCGCCGCGCCAUGAAACCCUCGCAGAACAAGAAGAAGAGCAGGAAGAAGAAGCCGAAGCCCUCUUCUCCCGCUCCGCCGCCCUCCCAAAGAUCCGGCGCUGAAUCGAAGGG